This is a long non-coding RNA of Mya arenaria, 3236 nucleotides long. RefSeq lists it as uncharacterized. The record is from RefSeq and is a predicted model, not a curated record. The transcript is spliced from 3 exons. NCBI's taxonomy places the organism in Eukaryota, Metazoa, Mollusca, Bivalvia, Myida, Myidae.
AUAUGUAAAAUGAUUUAUAAAUAUUUGAAGAAUUAUUACGCAAUAUAUUGUAUUCGGUAGUUAACAAACUACAAUGCUGGCUGAAUCUUUUGAAAUAAUAAUAACUACCCUUUUCAGCAAUUUACCAUGCACUAUUCAAAAUAAAUUAGGCGUAAAGUGAUGAAAUGAUUAGGAAAAAUUAUAUGUCCAAUUAUUUGGAAGCCAUCAACAAUUUAAUCGAAUAAAAAUACGAUUUAUUUUCUACUGCUCACGAGCUUCGUCGAUAAUAAUCAAGCACGUCAAAAUGCAAAAUUAAUUGGUUGCAACGUGUGUUGUGUUAUUUUGCAGAAGAUCAGAUUUAUAGAAAAAAAUAUUUAAUUACAAAAUUGAUUUCCUAUUAUUUAUUUUUUGCUCUGAUAUCGUUAUGAUUAAGGGUAGAUAUGUUAAUCGGGUAAAACCUCAUUCAGUGAUAUAGCAAAUUUCUGCAAAUGUAUGAUGCAGUAUUUUAAGUUACAAGAGUAAUACAAUGAAUUUCAUCAAUAAUGCAAAUACAUGUGUCUCGUUACACAAUGCUGUAAAAGGUAAACAUAAAUUAAAUGAACAAAGACGAACAAUACAUACAUGUACAUGCAUCAUAAUGAACAUUGUACUUCCUUGUUAGUAAACCCCAACCACAGAGGCGGAAAAUAUCGUGUGUUUUUUUACCGUAGUUAACAAUUAUGUGUUAUGUCGUCAUUAUUUUACAAUAAAAAAGAAAUUCCGGGUUGACGAAGUCUCUAUUUCAGGACUUUUAAAUAUUCGCCCAUUGUCUUCCAAUCCGGAACCUGCCUUCAUUAAGCCCUCCUUAAAGACAUGUGUUUCCACUGGUGAAUCGCUUUUAUCAGAGGCUUGAAAAGGCUGCAAGUGGAAAACAAUAGAUCCAAUCACGAGCAGAAGUCUCUCAAACCAUAUUGGUCGCCAGAAAUUGGCUCUCGUUAAAAAACCGCUGAGAUCUCGCGAGAACUCAUAUCUCGUCACGUGAUCCUCCUCGCACAUUAGAAGAAAUUGUCUAGUGUCGUCUGCCUCCAUCAAAUUCCAAUCAAUAAGAAUCUCCUACAUUAACUUAAUAAGCCUCAACAAUGGCGAAAAUUCAUUUCAUUAGCGUAAAAGCUAGAGCAGAAGAUUUCUAACUGGACGCGGGAAAAAUUCGCCAGAAGGUCGACCCGCCGCUAUGAAUGUCGUCUGCUAAUCGACUCACGGGAUAAUUUGUGACACGGCGAACCCCUUUGGCUCGAACUCGCAUGGCUCGAUUUCCUCGUUAGCUCGAAAUGGAUGCAAAGGACCGAUUUCUUUCUGCUUAAGUGAUCAAAUCAAACGGUGACACGAGAUGACAACAGCGGAAACAAUAUGGCGGACAUAACAACACUAUUAACCCAACGCAGUGCUAAUGAGGCGAAAGUUAAUCAUUGUUUUAGCAUCUUUUCAUUGUCUCUAUCGAUUUCAAAUCCCCGACAAUUUAGCUGUUAGAGGCGGGAAUAUCGUCGUCAAUGCGGCAAUUAAGAGGAUUUUUCUCCCAGAAAAUGACAGACACCAAUUAAAUGAGAAAUAAAUGUGAUUACAAUUAAUAUACGGCAAUACGAUAGUUUGCAACGAAGUCUUAGAUUAAUUUUUCUAUCCUCUGCAGAAAAUUGUAAUAGAAAAAUGUAGGAUAUUUACCCUGCUUGACUUCGGAAUCCGUUCGUUUUCAUCUUGAAAGCCUUUCACCUGAAAAUAGAAAAUAGUUGUAAAUAAUAUAUAUGUUGUUAAAAGUGGUGUAUAAAAUUGUAUAGUAAAGUUAAAAUUUAAUACACAGUUCUGUUACAAAUUGAACAAAUUUGAUGGAUACAUUUCUAAAAAAAGGACAGCUAAGUUAAGAUGAGAUCACCAAAGUAAUAUUAGAUUAUUUUUUUCCGAUUAUGGGUCAUGUGAUAUAAUGGCCGUGAAUUAGUAAUGCUUUGAUCUUAUUCGAAAAAAAUACAUACAACUUCAUUAUUAAAUUCGUCCUUCUCCAUCCUUCCUAAAAAUCUUAUAACUGUUAAAUACAACAAAUAGACAAGAUCACACUAUCUUAAGUUGGCAAAGAAACGUUAUGACGUUCGACGAACAACUCUAAAUAAUGAAUCAUAAUAAUGAUUGUGUUUUGUUUUUUCUUCACCUAAUUUGAAUAUGUCCAUACAUUUGUAUUUAAAUGAUUUAUUAUUGUUUUACCUGUGUUUACACCAUGUGUCCAAUUAUUAUAUAUCAUCAUGAAGAUGUGCUUUGCACAAGUCUAAAUAAAUAAAUGAUCUGUUUUGUUCUAUUAUGUUCUGUUCUGUUCUGUUCUAUUAAUGAAGUAAGCGAAUUAAAAAGAGAUAUAAAGAGAGACAUACAUAUGACAGAGCAGUCUCUGUAACCAAACUAGCCAUCUUAAUCGUUGGCAUGACAUAAAUGCUUUCAAAGUAUUAUAUAUGGUUAAUUCAGAUCAGCUUUGUAUUUUCAUGAGGACAUUUUCCCUACCAUUGACCUUAUAUGACCAUACAAGCUGACUUCUACAGCCAGACAGCCCUAUUCAACAUAGAUCAGUGGAAUAUAAUACACAAUCCAAUGCAAUUGUCCAGCUUUGAAUAGCCUUUUAUAUUACAUUAUUUUAUUCACUGCCCUUGUUCAAUGAACGGAAUUUCAUUCUUUACACGGCGGCACGUUUUUACUAUGAAAUUAAGCCGCAUAGUAAGGAUUUUUCCUGACUUUUAUUACAAAAGGUAUUGUUGUGGGUGAACUUGACCCACUGAGCAUGUUUUGGUUUGACCCAAAUGUUGACAAGGAUGUUUUGACGGGGUAUUGUUGCACAUUUGCAUUCAGAGAUUGUUCAAUACGCAUUGUUCGAUUUCUGGCUUUGUUUUCUAUUGAAGAUUGCUGACAUAAUGCGUUCAUUAGAACCUGAACCGCUGAAUCAAUGUGUUAGCUAUCAUAUGUGAAUAAUAUGUGACUCCUGGCUUUAUUGAUGUGGUUUACAAUGGAGUUUGAAGAUAAUAUGAUUUGCAAUAUUUAACUGCUUUCAAUGUGUACUAAUCUAUACAUUUCUCAUUCAUCUUUUAUUUCCUUUCAUUUUUAAGUAAUUUCUAAAAAAUAUAAUACAAAAAUAAUUUAAAACGCGUGUUAAUGUAAUUAUUUAUUUAUUGAUUGAUUGUGUGUGCGUAUAUUUGUAUUUUAUAUGUUUGUAAUGUGACAAUGAGCUGUUAAUGCCUUAGUCAAAAAUAAAU